GACGAACGCUGGCGGCGUGCUUAACACAUGCAAGUCGAACGGUGAAGCGCCUUCCUUUUUGGUGGGUGUGGAUGAGUGGCGAACGGGUGAGUAACACGUGAGUAACCUGCCCCCUUCUUCUGGAUAACCGCAUGAAAGUGUGGCUAAUACGGGAUAUUCUGGGUCUGUCGCAUGAUGGGUCUGGGAAAGAUAUUGUUUCGGUGGGGGAUGGGCUCGCGGCCUAUCAGCUUGUUGGUGGGGUGAUGGCCUACCAAGGCGGUGACGGGUAGCCGGCCUGAGAGGGUGGACGGUCACGCUGGGACUGAGACACGGCCAAGACUCCUACGGGAGGCAGCAGUGGGGAAUAUUGCACAAUGGGCGCAAGCAUGAUGCAGCGACGCCGCGUGAGGGAUGGAGGCCUUCGGGUUGUGAACCUCUUUCGCCAGUGAAGCAGGCCUGCCUCGUUUGUGGGUGGGUUGACGGUAGCUGGAUAAGAAGCGCCGGCUAACUACGUG
This 494-nucleotide ribosomal RNA is filed under the name uncultured bacterium. Its description in RNAcentral is "partial 16S ribosomal RNA". It matches the Rfam family "Bacterial small subunit ribosomal RNA", at positions 28 to 507 of the family's 1533-position model. The record is from RNAcentral.